GGAUUGUGGCUCAUUGGUAGAGUGCUCGCCUAGCACGGGAGGGACCUAGGUUUGAUCCUCAGCACCA
This 67-nucleotide transfer RNA is filed under the name Marmota monax (woodchuck). Its description in RNAcentral is "tRNA.Ala". The record is from RNAcentral. Lineage: Eukaryota; Metazoa; Chordata; Mammalia; Rodentia; Sciuridae.